UGGGGAAUAUUGGGCAAUGGGGGAAACCCUGACCCAGCAACGCCGCGUGAGGGAAGAAGGUUUUCGGAUUGUAAACCUCUGUUCUUGGAGAAGAGAAGGAGACGGUAUCCAAGGAGGAAGCCCCGGCUAACUACGUGCCAGCAGCCGCGGUAAUACGUAGGGGGCAAGCGUUAUCCGGAAUUAUUGGGUGUAAAGGGUGCGUAGACGGAUUUAUAAGUUAGUUGUGAAAGCCCUCGGCUUAACUGAGGAAGAGCAACUAAAACUAUAAACCUUGAGUAUGGGAGAGGGAAGCGGAAUUUCUAGUGUAGCGGUGAAAUGCGUAGAUAUUAGGAGGAACACCAGUGGCGAAGGCGGCUUUCUGGACCAAAACUGACGUUGAUGCACGAAAGUGUGGGGAGCAAACAGG
This 406-nucleotide ribosomal RNA is filed under the name uncultured prokaryote. Its description in RNAcentral is "bacterial SSU rRNA". It matches the Rfam family "Bacterial small subunit ribosomal RNA", at positions 355 to 776 of the family's 1533-position model. The record is from RNAcentral.